Ictalurus punctatus (channel catfish) is the source of this 415-nucleotide long non-coding RNA. Lineage: Eukaryota; Metazoa; Chordata; Actinopteri; Siluriformes; Ictaluridae. The record is from Ensembl.
GUCGCAGAGAGACAGAGAGCGUGUACGGGAGCGCGCCUGGGAUUUUCUCUCCUUUCUCCUAGAGGAUCGCGUUCAGGAAUUAUCCAGAGGACUUUCAUGUGAACAUACACACACAGACACACACACACACACACACACACACACACACAGAGUGUGAGUGUGUGUGUUUAUUCUGCUAUAUAAGGGAUGAGCUGAUACACAUGUGAUGGAUCACACAUUUCGGGAAUGAUGGAAAACCUGUUAGGAAUAUAAACACACUUUACAGCUUGGAGUGUGAGAGCAGGACAUCAUCCUCACAGCACACAUGGAACAUCACCAGACUGUGUUUUGGACUCAUAAAGAAACUGCAAGAAGGAAGCGUACAGAGUAGGGCUGGGCGAUAUAUUGAUAUAAUAUCGAUAUCGUGAUAAAUGAC